UCCAACACAUUGCCACCUAACCGCAAUAACAUCCUGUAAAUCCAUGAUUGGUUCAGCGGGUUGAUCCACAUAUGUUUCCACUAAACAAUUACAUACAAAUUACCUGCAACAAUAGGACGGGAUUUUAUGCACGAAUCAACUCAAAUCGUUUUCAUUUCAAAACCCCACACUUAUACAACAACAAGCCAAUAACAGAUGCAGUGAAAAAGAGAGAGCAUAAUACAAUGCAUAGCAAAGCCGUGAGAACCAUGCUACCAAAUGCGCCACCAACAUAAGAUGCAUAAUGAUCAUUACCUACAAUGCACCCAUGAAACUAUAAGGAUUAUAGUAACUAAGUACAAGAGUGUUAUGAAAACUCUAAAGCCAUGUACAUGUUCAAUACAACAAUAUGUUGGUUUAAACUACACAAUCAUCCAAACCUUGCCAACAUGUGCAUACCACAACGUAACCCUGCUGUAGAAUCAGGACACAAGCGCUGCAACCACUAACCAAAAUACAUCAUGAUCGUAACAAGACCC
This 518-nucleotide long non-coding RNA is filed under the name Lathyrus oleraceus (garden pea). Its description in RNAcentral is "Pisum sativum (pea) long non-coding RNA (PSAT_LNC036747)". Lineage: Eukaryota; Viridiplantae; Streptophyta; Magnoliopsida; Fabales; Fabaceae. The record is from RNAcentral.